Molecule: ribosomal RNA, 760 nt
Filed under: uncultured Gammaproteobacteria bacterium
Lineage: Bacteria; Pseudomonadati; Pseudomonadota; Gammaproteobacteria
Description: bacterial SSU rRNA
Rfam family: Bacterial small subunit ribosomal RNA
Source: RNAcentral
UGCAAGUCGAACGGUAACAGGCCGCUGUGAUCUCUUCGGAGUGAACUUGGCGCUGACGAGUGGCGGACGGGUGAGUAAUGCAUAGGAAUCUGCCCAGUAGUGGGGGAUAACGUGGAGAAAUCCACGCUAAUACCGCAUAUGUUCCACGGAACAAAGCAGGGGACCUUCGGGCCUUGCGCUAUUGGAUGAGCCUAUGUCGGAUUAGCUUGUUGGUGGGGUAAAAGCCUACCAAGGCGACGAUCCGUAGCUGGUCUGAGAGGAUGAUCAGCCACACUGGAACUGAGACACGGUCCAGACUCCUACGGGAGGCAGCAGUGGGGAAUAUUGCACAAUGGGCGCAAGCCUGAUGCAGCAAUGCCGCGUGUGUGAAGAAGGCCUGCGGGUUGUAAAGCACUUUUAUUAGGAAAGAAAAACUCAGGGUUAAUACCCCUGAACUUGACGGUACCUAAAGAAUAAGCACCGGCUAACUCAGUGCCAGCAGCCGCGGUAAUACUGAGGGUGCAAGCGUUAAUCGGAAUUACUGGGCGUAAAGCGAGUGUAGGCGGCUGCUUAAGUCGGAUGUGAAAGCCCCGGGCUCAACCUGGGAAUUGCAUUCGAUACUGAGUAGCUAGAGUUUGGUAGAGGUAAGUGGAAUUCCGGGUGUAGCGGUGAAAUGCGUAGAUAUCCGGAGGAACAUCAGUGGCGAAGGCGGCUUACUGGACCAAAACUGACGCUGAGGCUCGAAAGGCGUGGGGAGCCAAACAGGAUUAGAUACCCUGGU